GUAGGUGCUGGUGAACGCGGCUCCCAGCAGGGAUCCAGUCAGCGUCAACCCGCACAGGUGCGAGUCCACGCAGCCCCUGGUGUGCAGCGACAGCGACCCCGUAGCGUUGAACUCUGAAACGAGCAUAAACAGCGAGCUGUGUUAAAUAACGUGAGGACAAGAUGGCGGCACAGAGGCCAGCAGUCAGAGACAACUGAACAGCCGAGGCUCCGUUGCACAGGAGGUGUUGGCCACGCAGCCCCGGCUGUACAGAGUGGGCGACCCUUUCGCUGUGAAGCCUAAGAGUGCCAGAAAACAGAAAUCAGAAUGUUAAGAAACAAGUGUUGGGUCUCUCCGUUGCCAAGGCAACCAAUACUGCUAUUACCCUAAAUUACAAAGUAAGUAAAUAUUUAUUUUAUUAACGUAAAUAUUUAUUUAUUUUAUUAACUGAAUAAUUAUGCAUUUAUUGUAAGUAUGUAUUCAUAAUUAGUUUGACUAAUUAAAAUUAGAAAAGUUUGCUUUAAUAAUAGCAUGACUAGAAUCAUUUAUUUUAAUUGACAUUUAAAAAAAAAAAUGCAUAUGUGUAUAUAUAUAUGAUUGGAGAAAGCCCCACACAACUUCUUUAUUACAUAUAAUCUUUCAAGUUAAAGCCACAGGGUACCAGAAA
This is a long non-coding RNA of Xiphophorus hellerii (green swordtail), 646 nucleotides long. RefSeq lists it as uncharacterized. Lineage: Eukaryota; Metazoa; Chordata; Actinopteri; Cyprinodontiformes; Poeciliidae. The transcript is spliced from 3 exons. The record is from RefSeq and is a predicted model, not a curated record.